This 140-nucleotide transfer RNA is filed under the name Candidatus Dormiibacterota bacterium. Its description in RNAcentral is "tRNA-Thr". Lineage: Bacteria; Bacillati; Candidatus Dormiibacterota. The record is from RNAcentral.
GCCGGCUGUGGACAAGCUGUGAACAACUGGCCGAUUGCGGUAUCGAUUGCGGUACGCCCACUGCGAGCCUCCUCGCAACUGAUCUCAGCUUCACCUGUUUUGUAAACAGAUGGCCGGGAGUUCGAAUCUCCCCGUCGGCU